GAGUUUGAUCUUGGCUCAGGAUGAACGCUGGCGGCGUGCUUAACACAUGCAAGUCGAACGAAGCGCCUUAUUUGAUUUUCUUCGGAACUGAAGAUUUGGUGACUGAGUGGCGGACGGGUGAGUAACGCGUGGGUAACCUGCCCUGUACAGGGGGAUAACAAUCAGAAAUGACUGCUAAUACCGCAUAAGACCACAGCACCGCAUGGUGCAGGGGUAAAAACUCCGGUGGUACAGGAUGGACCCGCGUCUGAUUAGCUGGUUGGUGAGGUAACGGCUCACCAGGGCGACGAUCAGUAGCCGGCUUGAGAGAGUGAACGGCCACAUUGGGACUGAGACACGGCCCAAACUCCUACGGGAGGCAGCAGUGGGGAAUAUUGCACAAUGGGGGAAACCCUGAUGCAGCAACGCCGCGUGAGUGAAGAAGUAUUUCGGUAUGUAAAGCUCUAUCAGCAGGGAAGAAAGUGACGGUACCUGACUAAGAAGCCCCGGCUAACUACGUGCCAGCAGCCGCCGUAAG
Molecule: ribosomal RNA, 517 nt
Filed under: uncultured microorganism
Description: bacterial SSU rRNA
Rfam family: Bacterial small subunit ribosomal RNA
Source: RNAcentral